UACGGAGGGUGCAAGCGUUGCUCGGAAUUAUUGGGCGUAAAGGGUAGGUAGGUGGUCUUAUUUGUCUGGGGUGAAAGCCUUGAGCUUAACUCAAGAAGUGCCCCAGAAACGGUAAGACUCGAGUCUUGGAGAGGGUCGGUGGAAUUCCCAGUUCGUAGCGGUGAAAUGCGUAGAUAUUGGGAGGAACACCAGUGGCGAAGGCGG
This 204-nucleotide ribosomal RNA is filed under the name uncultured bacterium. Its description in RNAcentral is "partial 16S ribosomal RNA". It matches the Rfam family "Bacterial small subunit ribosomal RNA", at positions 524 to 724 of the family's 1533-position model. The record is from RNAcentral.